This 256-nucleotide ribosomal RNA is filed under the name uncultured bacterium. Its description in RNAcentral is "partial 16S ribosomal RNA". It matches the Rfam family "Bacterial small subunit ribosomal RNA", at positions 99 to 354 of the family's 1533-position model. The record is from RNAcentral.
CGGACGGGUGAGUAACGCGUGGAAAACCUGCCGUAUACUGGGGGAUAACACUUAGAAAUAGGUGCUAAUACCGCAUAAGCGCACAGCUUCGCAUGAAGCGGUGUGAAAAACUCUGGUGGUAUACGAUCGGUUCCGCGUCUGAUUAGCUAGUUGGUGGGGUAAUGGCCUACCAAGGCAACGAUCAGUAGCCGGCCUGAGAGGGUGAACGGCCACAUUGGGACUGAGACACGGCCCAAACUCCUACGGGAGGCAGCAG